Molecule: ribosomal RNA, 229 nt
Filed under: uncultured bacterium
Lineage: Bacteria
Description: partial 16S ribosomal RNA
Rfam family: Bacterial small subunit ribosomal RNA
Source: RNAcentral
AAACCUGCCUUAAGGAUGGGGAUAACAGACGGAAACGACUGCUAAUACCGAAUACGUUCUAAGCAUCGCAUGGUGCAUAGAAGAAAGGGUGGCCUCUACAAGAAAGCUAUCGCCUUAAGAGGGGUUUGCGACUGAUUAGGUAGUUGGUGAGGUAACGGCUCACCAAGCCGACGAUCAGUAGCCGGUCUGAGAGGAUGAACGGCCACACUGGAACUGAGACACGGUCCAG